Long non-coding RNA from Coturnix japonica (Japanese quail), 727 nucleotides. RefSeq lists it as uncharacterized. The record is from RefSeq and is a predicted model, not a curated record. Lineage: Eukaryota; Metazoa; Chordata; Aves; Galliformes; Phasianidae.
CAUCUUUUUGGAAAAAAAAACAUCAGUUCUCUUUGGGGAUAUCCAGCGAACUGGGUAUAACAUAAACACCCUGGUGCUGUCAGGCCAGGAAUGGGUACUGUCGUUAUAGUACUUGAACGCUCAGCUGCUCUGUCUCAGAUGCUCCCCAGCACAAAGAAAAAGUACCUGCCUUCCUGAUCCUUCCGGCCAUGGAAGCAGAUCUGGCCACAAGAUGUUCUGAAGUUUCAUCUCCUGCUUUCUGAGACUGCUACAAACUGCUUAAAACAGGACUAGCUGGACCUGGUUCAAACACUCGUGCUAUUUUGACGAUAUUUAUGGAUCAGAAGAAUAUGAUUUCCAUGGCAACUGCUCCAGGUUUUGAGCAAAUAUCAGCUUUGAAGAGAAAAGAGUAGCCUGACCUUGGAAAAAGGCUCUAAUCUAGUGUCUUCAUAGAGAUGAGGAAGCAGCUUUGACAAGUGGAAGUUAAGCCCUGGAUGGUCCCGGACUAUCUAGCCAUUGCUUAAUCUUCUUAAUAUGAAUUCAGGACUCAAGAAAAGAGGUAGCAGUUGAGGGGGCCAGAGACAGCUAUGAGCCAUACAGGGCCGUCUGAUAGAGCCACAUUUUGCAACAGGUGAGCAUUUGGUCUUGCAUUUAACGUGGGAGGAAACCAAAUCAUUUUUUGUCCGUUGGUGGAAAGAAAAUAAGAACAAAGAUCUACUUUUCACUACACUGUAGCUCAGGUCUUCAA